AUUUAAUGGCUGGCAGUGGAGGUGAGGGGAUCUUGCUGGUGGUACCUGCCUAUUUGAGUCCUUCUAAAGGAUCACGAGAACAGAGGUGGGCAGCCUUGGAAAGCGGGUGACCUGAAAUUUCCAUGCUCUUGCUCCUGAAUUUGGGGCACGGUGAUGUAUAUCUGCAGUUCAGCAGAAGUAGUUGAAAGUGGUGCCGUGGCCAUCAGCUCCUGAUCUCCCAUUGCCAUUUACCUGCAGGCCGUGCCACCGGGGUGGUGACAUUGAUCUUUUGCUACCACCCUGGGCAUGGCAGCAAUGCCAAAGUUCACACGGGCUGUCCUAGGGGUGCAAAUGUGGUAGUGCAAAUGGGUUAGGAGGUAUCUCCUAGCACAAACCACCUGCAUCAGCUCUGCUCAGCCUUUCCCAGAGAGCCAGUCUUCUUUUCUAUGUAAUGUAGUCCUGUGUUAACAAGAGGGAGAGGACUGUAAAUAAACAGCACAUGAAGCGGGGAAGGGAGGUAUGGAGAACAGUGGCAUCUAAACACGGGGUGCUGUUGAUGGAAAGAGUAAUGUGGGAGCACUUAGCAUGCAGCUUUAAGUUCUUGUGUUGGAGAAUUUGUUGUACAAAAGGCUCAAAGCGGUUUUCUCCCUGUUCUUGUCAUGGUUGGAACCUGUUUCUUCUGCAAAUAAACAGCGUUUCUCCCAGCUCAUCCCUCACUGAAUGGGGGAGCAGGCAGAGACGAAUGAAUCCUAUUCACACUGCCCAUUUGGUGUUUGCUCAUUGCUCUAAGCUCCUUUGUGAUCUCUCUCAAAAUAUUUUCAUCUGCUUGUUUGGGGAGAAACUUUUCUCCAGGCAGUAAUGCAUAAUGCAGUAAUACAGGACACUGCAGCAAAUUUCAUCUUGUUCAAAAACAAGAUGCAAGGUGGAUUUGGUCUCCCAUUUGAAUUCCCAUUUAAUUGCCUAAACAAUAAUGCUGUUUUCGCUACUAUGAAAGGAAACUCAAUACGUUGCACAUAAUGAUCUUUUUCUGUGGUCUGUCUAUUCUCUGCAUUCUAAUUUUCAGUGUUGACUUCCAGACACAUCUAAUGUUUCAUAAAAGGCAAUGAUCCAUCUCAAAUUCCUUGGGACAUGUCUCAUUUUCUGAAAGAUGUCUGUUGUUUACUGCUGGCUGACAAAAUAAAACCUCCUUUCUUGCUGUU
Long non-coding RNA from Gallus gallus (chicken), 1178 nucleotides. NCBI's taxonomy places the organism in Eukaryota, Metazoa, Chordata, Aves, Galliformes, Phasianidae. The record is from Ensembl.